AAAUAGAAGCAUGUUUGUCUUUGCGCCUCUUUAGUUUAGUGAUUGAAUCUGACCUUUUGGUUGAAAUCGAUCAACAAGAAAAUAGGCAAAGCUACAUCGGGUUCUCUUUUGUUUCCUCGGCCCAUCAAUUUCUGGUGAGUAGACAUUUUCAACUUAAUUUCUGUCGUUUAAUACUCUCUGCAUAUGUAUUAGUAAUGGAAAAUAGGCAAAGUUACACCGGGUUCUCUUCCAUUUCAGCUGGGUUCUUUAAUGCUUGAUUUUCAGCUCAAAUGAAGCAAUCAGUUUGCUUAUCAGCACAUUCGCCGAAAAAAGCAAUAAACGAUGCAAUAAUUAACAACUACAAAAUUUCUCAUCUUAUCGAACAGAUUGAAGGAGGGAAUGAAGAGGAGGAGUAUUAACAAGGGAGAAGCAAUUUAAAGUAGAGACAACUCCAAGUGAAGUUGAAUACAAGCACCAUCCCACAACUUUGCACUCCAAAACAGAGAAUAAAGGCAAAGGCUCCAACAAAAAGAGGCGGGAGAAUAGUGAAAUCACAAUAGGAUAUAAUGACACAAGAGUUUUGUGCAACAAGUGCAAGCCAAACAAUAGAGAGAAAAGCCACCGUGGUUGCAUCACACCAAGAUUAUUAUAUUCAUCAUAAGUUGGGUCCUCUUCUGGUGGAGGAUUAAGAGAGGAACAAUGCAAAAUUCCAGUGGUUGAGCUUUCACAUAAGCUAAUUCCAGGAUUGAAGUUUUCUAUAGUUGAGCUUGAGAAAUGUAAACGAGCUUGAAAUUUACUGUCACAACUUGAAAUUCAAGUAUUGCAUCUUGACUCAGUUUAAGGAAUUUCAUUUGGUAUCA
Lycium ferocissimum is the source of this 839-nucleotide long non-coding RNA. RefSeq lists it as uncharacterized. The record is from RefSeq and is a predicted model, not a curated record. Lineage: Eukaryota; Viridiplantae; Streptophyta; Magnoliopsida; Solanales; Solanaceae. The transcript has 2 exons.